GAUGAACGCUGGCGGCGUGCCUAAUACAUGCAAGUCGAGCGAACGGACGAGAAGCUUGCUUCUCUGAUGUUAGCGGCGGACGGGUGAGUAACACGUGGAUAACCUACCUAUAAGACUGGGAUAACUUCAGGAAACCGGAGCUAAUACCGGAUAAUAUUAUGAACCGCAUGGUUCAAAAGUGAAAGACGGUCUUGCUGUCACUUAUAGAUGGAUCCGCGCUGCAUUAGCUAGUUGGUAAGGUAACGGCUUACCAAGGCAACGAUGCAUAGCCGACCUGAGAGGGUGAUCGGCCACACUGGAACUGAGACACGGUCCAGACUCCUACGGGAGGCAGCAGUAGGGAAUCUUCCGCAAUGGGCGAAAGCCUGACGGAGCAACGCCGCGUGAGUGAUGAAGGUCUUCGGAUCGUAAAACUCUGUUAUUAGGGAAGAACAUAUGUGUAAGUAACUGUGCACAUCUUGACGGUACCUAAUCAGAAAGCCACGGCUAACUACGUG
Molecule: ribosomal RNA, 497 nt
Filed under: uncultured bacterium
Lineage: Bacteria
Description: partial 16S ribosomal RNA
Rfam family: Bacterial small subunit ribosomal RNA
Source: RNAcentral